This is a long non-coding RNA of Chenopodium quinoa (quinoa), 1330 nucleotides long. RefSeq lists it as uncharacterized. The record is from RefSeq and is a predicted model, not a curated record. Lineage: Eukaryota; Viridiplantae; Streptophyta; Magnoliopsida; Caryophyllales; Amaranthaceae. The transcript is spliced from 7 exons.
GCAAUUAUUCAAUUUUACUCGUUUUCAAACCCUAGGUUAUAGAUUUUGUUGAAUUUCUAUUUGUACAAUUAAUCUCUUAGUUUCUAGAUAUUUUCUUAUACAUUAGUGAUUUACUGGAUUGCUAAUUUCAUUUUUUUGGAUCUAUUUCUUUACAUGUAAAACUUGACAUUGAUUUUGUUACUCCAUUCUUUUAGAGUUUUAGAGUUAUUGGUUGGACCAAAGCAGAGUUUGGACCUCGAAUAGAAGAAAAAGAAGGGGUUUCUUAAACCAAAGAUCACCUUCUCAUUAUAUUCCAUGAAAAUGGUGGGCAGUAGAAUCGUCGAGCCUCUAACAGCAAGGGCGAAUAUUGCUGAAUGUGGAUAUGGAUCAAGUAACAAUGCUGGACAAGGUUCUCAAUCUGAAGGAGAUUCGUCAAACACAACUAUUUUUGUUGGAGGGCUUGAUCCUAGUUCAUAAACGAGGAUCUUAGGCAACCUUUCUCUCAAUAUGGGGAGAUAUUUUAUGUUAAAAUUCCAGUAUGGAAAGGAUGCGGAUUUGUGCGAUUUGCGAACAGAGGUCAUGCUGAAGAGGCUUUGAAUAAGCUAAACGGGUCAGUUAUAGGAAAGCAAAUUGUCUGUCUUUCAUGGGGCCGCUACCCUACAAACAAACAGUCAAGAGGUGACUAUGGAAAUAUGUGGAAUGGAGGCUACUACGGAGGACACAUAUAUGGUGGUGGUAACGGAUACGUACCACACCCCCAUGACCAAAGCAUGUAUGCAGCAGCGGCAGCAGCUUACUGAGCCUACCUUGUAUACGACAAUCAGCAACAAGUAAGCUGAUGACAAAGACACGAAAAAAGAAGUAGCGCGCAUGAGGAGAAGCCUCAAGAUUAUCGAUAAGCGUUUCGUAUAGCACUACCUAGGCAUAUUGUUUCAUUCUUUGUAGUGUGAGCCUGUUGUGUAGAAAUAUUUAUGAACCCCUCCCCCUCCUAAUGUGGAGUGGAACUGAAUUUUGAUAGCUCCCAAGCCGUAGAUUUGUAUGAAGAUUUUUUAACUUGGUGUCAAAGAUCAGAAAUUGUUCAGCGCCCCUGAUGGAUCGUUUGAUGCUGAAUUAGAGAUUUGUUUGAAAUUUCUAGUUGAGAGUUACAAUUCACAUGUGGUUUAAGACAAGCCAAAGUUUAUUAAGAUUGGAAAAAGCAAUGUAGGUGCAGCAAGAGAAUAGGCCAGGACAGUUGAGCAUCAAAACAAGCGACUAUAUCGUCUAUAAGGCCAUCAUCUAUCUAUUUUGGUUUUUAGUCUUAUAUUAGUUAUUUAGGGACAAGCUACUAUAAUAUGCGACGUUUUUUUUUUUU